Molecule: ribosomal RNA, 326 nt
Filed under: uncultured bacterium
Lineage: Bacteria
Description: bacterial SSU rRNA
Rfam family: Bacterial small subunit ribosomal RNA
Source: RNAcentral
GAUGAACGCUGGCGGCGUGCUUAACACAUGCAAGUCGAACGAAGCACUUUUAUUUGAUUUCUUCGGAAUGAAGAUUUUAGUGACUGAGUGGCGGACGGGUGAGUAACGCGUGGGUAACCUGCCUCAUACAGGGGGAUAACAGUUGGAAAUGACUGCUAAUACCGCAUAAGACCACAGUACCGCAUGGUGCAGGGGUAAAAACUCCGGUGGUAUGAGAUGGACCCGCGUCUGAUUAGGUAGUUGGUGGGGUAACGGCCUACCAAGGCGACGAUCAGUAGCCGGCCUGAGAGGGUGAACGGCCACAUUGGGACUGAGACACGGCCCAA